AGGAUAAACGCUGGCGGCGUGCCUAACACAUGCAAGUCGAACGUCCUACGCAAGUAGGGAGUGGCGGACGGGUGAGUAACACGUGGGCAAUCUACCUUUCGGUGAGGAAUACCGGCGAGAAAUCGCCGACAAUACCGCAUACGCUUCGCAAGAAGCAAAGUCGCAAGACGCCGGAGGAGGAGCCUGCGCCCGAUUAGCUGGUUGGUGGAGUAAUGGUCUACCAAGGCGACGAUCGGUAGCUGGUCUGAGAGGAUGAUCAGCCACACUGGGAUUGAGACACGGCCCAGACUCCUACGGGAGGCAGCAGUGGGGAAUCUUGCACAAUGGGCGCGAGCCUGAUGCAGCAACGCCGCGUGAGGGACGAAGGCUUUCUGAGUUGUAAACCUCUUUCAGCAGGGACGAUUGUGACGGUACCUGCAGAAGAAGCCCGGCAACUACGUGCCAGCAGCCGCGGU
Molecule: ribosomal RNA, 455 nt
Filed under: uncultured bacterium
Lineage: Bacteria
Description: SSU rRNA
Rfam family: Bacterial small subunit ribosomal RNA
Source: RNAcentral